UUAUAGCUUUCACUGUAAACACAACAAACCUCCUGUAACUAGGAAUUUUUUAUAACUUCAGAAGCUGACUUACUUAAUAACUUAUAAAUGAAUAUCUCUGUGUUUUCGAGUGACAACUCAAAGCAGUUUGGAGGCCAACCUUGAGCUUUCCAGAUCUUCUAUGUUAUGAGUGUUUUUUAAAUGAUAGUCACUGUUCUUUUAGGCUUACACAACAUCAAAAAGAUAAAUGUGGAUCUUCUAGCUUAUGUGAAAUUCAACAAGCAGCUUUUAAAUGUCCAUAUGCUCCAUAAAUAGCAACAUCUCGAUAAAUGUAAAUCUCUGUCCAACAGAUCCCUCAGGGGAGACGAGUGGUUCUGGAUGUCUGGACAGUCCAUGAAUUUCUUGAAUUGGCCACAAGAUUUUGUUCCUGACAGCUACUCCAGCACAUGUGGGGGCAUGACCAGCAGAGAGCACCUCCUGUGGCAGGACCAGCCCUGUGAGGAGAACCUCAACUUCAUCUGCCAAUCAGGUGCUCAGGACAGUGUGCAAAGAGUCGACUUUGACAGCACCGCGAUUGCCACACGUUCACAGUAAAGGUGGAGACUGCCAACUGGCUGGUUUAAAGAAGUUCCCGUGUGAAUUGGAUCUUAACCUGCAGCUGGCAGCCACCUCGGCCCUCUGCUUGCCUCCUCUGCACCUAACAACAAGCUGAGUUCUACUUAAUGAAAUCUUUGUAAAUAGUGAAUUAAAAGGCUAUCUUGUGCUAAAUGCUUAUCCACUGUACAGACUGAGCUCCCUAAAACGACUGACGUAGGCGUGAGAACAGUUUUCUGUUGAAAUCCUUUCCCUCUUGUUUAUCUAGUUUAGAGAACUGGUAUUGGUUUGCCUUUUUUUUAAAUUAGGGAAAUUAGACGCUUCAGUUUGUUGUUUUGGCUUUGCUCACAUGCAAGACAAACAAACACCUCCUUAGACUCUUGAAUUGCACUGCAUUGGUUCUUUUUUCUUCACUGUGGUACGAGUGACGUUUGAGACUUUCAAGCCACACAUCAACAAAUGCAUGCUGCAUUCAUAUCCUGGAGGAAAACUGGGGUUUUUUGGUGUACUGCUAUGUCCAUCAUAAAUAAAUAAAUUUUUUGUCCUCUUAGCUAAAAAAAAUAACUAUAAACUAUAGAAAAUAACUCCUUGGAACCAAAGUCCAACAGGUUAAACUUCAUAGGCUAUGUUAAGCAUUGUGUUUGCUCUGUCCGACAGAUCCCUGAGAGGAAACAACUGGUUCUGAUGAAUUAUUGUGAAUUAUUGUGUGUAUUCUGUAUACUGAAAUGCAUGUUUUAUUAGAUAGAACGAGAUUUUAAUUUGAUGUCUUUCAUUGUUGUAAUGGUGUGCAUAAUUCCUUGUAAGGCUGUAAGAUGUUUCUGCACCAAAUGGAAUCUGGCUGUGAUUCCUGAACAGUUAAAUCAUUAUAACUGAAAGUCUGAUUUAAAUGUUUUAGUAGUGAUGCACAGAGGCAGAAUAAAACAAAAUGUCACUGUCUAAAGACUUACGCUGUGUUGUUGUUUUAUAUCCAAUGACCCAGUUCUAAAAGGCCGUGCUUUGAAACAGUUGCACAUAGAAAGCAUCGUGAGUGCAGAACAUGAGGGCACAUUCUCUCAAUUGUAUCUUGCAUUACUUUAGGUGUGGCGCAGUCCUGUAACUUAAAAGGAACAGGUUUAAGUAACGUGUGUUGACAAGUGUCUAAUAUAAACUGAGUGACGACGAACACACCCAAAGUUUGAAAAUGGCCUGACCUGGUCCUGCCUGUUCUCCUUGCCUGGUGUCUCUGCCAUGUGUAGGCUCAGGCACUCCUUUGAAAUGACACUCCUCUAAUUUACAGUGCAUUGUAUUAUUGCUGCUAUUAUUAUCAUUAUUAUUAUUAUUAUUAUUGGUAGUAGUAAUACUAGUAUUAGUAUUAGUAUUAUUUAAUCUAUAGAUCUUUAAAGUCUUUUGUCCUGCACAUCUAACACAAUCACGUGUGUUAUUAAAAAGACUAAAGAUAUCUCCUCAGUGUUUUUAUUUUAGUUAUUUUUCUAGUCCAGUUAGUUUUUCUUUUCUUUUUUUAAUGUCAAGCUUUAUUUAUAUUUAUUUUCAUAAACUAACAUGUUUUUUUCACAUCAGAUUUUAAAUUUCAGUUUAGUUUUUGUUACCUACAAUACACCAUAUUGCCAAACGUAUUCACUCACCCAUCUAAAUGAUUGAAUUCAUGUGUUCCAAUCACAGGUGUACAAAAUGAAGCAGCUAGGCCUGCAGACUGCUUCUACAAACGUUUGUGAAAGACUGCGCUCG
Long non-coding RNA from Oreochromis niloticus (Nile tilapia), 2298 nucleotides. The record is from Ensembl. Lineage: Eukaryota; Metazoa; Chordata; Actinopteri; Cichliformes; Cichlidae.